CCUACGGGUGGCUGCAGUGGGGAAUAUUGCACAAUGGGCGCAAGCCUGAUGCAGCCAUGCCGCGUGUGUGAAGAAGGCCUUCGGGUUGUAUAGCACUUUCAGCGGGGAGGAAGGCGUUAAGGUUAAUAACCUUGGCGAUUGACGUUACCCGCAGAAGAAGCACCGGCUAACUCCGUGCCAGCAGCCGCGGUAAUACGGAGGGUGCAAGCGUUAAUCGGAAUUACUGGGCGUAAAGCGCACGCAGGCGGUCUGUCAAGUCGGAUGUGAAAUCCCCGGGCUCAACCUGGGAACUGCAUUCGAAACUGGCAGGCUAGAGUCUUGUAGAGGGGGGUAGAAUUCCAGGUGUAGCGGUGAAAUGCGUAGAGAUCUGGAGGAAUACCGGUGGCGAAGGCGGCCCCCUGGACAAAGACUGACGCUCAGGUGCGAAAGCGUGGGGAGCAAACAGGAUUAGAUACCCGUGUAGUC
RNAcentral lists this ribosomal RNA (465 nucleotides) under uncultured Klebsiella sp. RNAcentral's name for it is "bacterial SSU rRNA". It matches the Rfam family "Bacterial small subunit ribosomal RNA", at positions 338 to 795 of the family's 1533-position model. Lineage: Bacteria; Pseudomonadati; Pseudomonadota; Gammaproteobacteria; Enterobacterales; Enterobacteriaceae. The record is from RNAcentral.